This 861-nucleotide long non-coding RNA is filed under the name Gossypium raimondii (Peruvian cotton). Its description in RNAcentral is "long non-coding RNA (GRAI_LNC006099)". Lineage: Eukaryota; Viridiplantae; Streptophyta; Magnoliopsida; Malvales; Malvaceae. The record is from RNAcentral.
UUCGAAUGUGAUUUGUAGAGGGAUGGUUCUUUCUUCAAUAUCAAAAUCAAAAAGGGUCUAAGUUUUAUUUAAAUUUCAGGAUUGGUCAGAGGCAAUUUUACAAUAAUCUACCUAUGCCACCAUGACUUGAUUCCUCUGUACUGAAGUUGGGUUUCAUCUAAUCUCAUUGGUUUUUAGAAGAACUUUUUAUCUAGAGUUUAUUAAUUAAUGUAUUUGAUUUAAUAGGUUUGAAGUGCGAAUGAUUGGAAGUUGAAGUGCUAGAACUCGAAUUAAGGAGAUUGUGAAAUGAAAACAUUUGAAUGACGGUAACCAAGACAAGUAUCACAACUUAAAAGCAACCAAUCAAACCAUUGCUGAUCCAUCAUAUUAUUCAUGGCCUACUCUUUAUGUGCAGAGAAAUACUCAAAUCAAUGGGAACCCAAAAAGGAAUCAGAGGAAAUGUAAAGCGAAUUACAUUGAAAUGAAAAGUCUCGCCUAUCAACCAUUGUCUGUUUUAACAAGGGCCCUCUCUCACUAUUCUUGCCCAUCAAAGAUUAACAAGAAUAGCCUAAAUCAAAAUUCCCUGUUUCUUUAUUAUUAUUAUUAUUAUUAUUAUUAUUAUUAUUAUUAUUAUAUCUUAAUUUCAAAACCAAAACAAAAAAAUAAAAAUAAAAAUUGAUGGUGCAAAGAAUUUGAACCCAUAUCAAAUUUUCUUCACGCUUCUUACCUUUUACCUGCAGAGAAGAAUCAAUCGACAUGCCUGGUUUUGUUGGGACAGCGAGUGAGGUAGAGGAAGCCUGAAACAAGACUCAGACAAAAGUAGCGCAAUCAUCGAAUUUGAUUGCGAAUUUGUGAAGGAGAACAGAGCAGUCCUGAUGCAUC